CCUACGGGAGGCAGCAGUGGGGGAUAUUGCACAAUGGGGGAAACCCUGAUGCAGCGACGCCGCGUGUGGGAAGACGGUCCUCUGGAUUGUAAACCACUUUCCCCAGGGACGAAGAUGACGGUACCUUGGGAGGAAGCUCCGGCAAACUACGUGCCAGCAGCCGCGGUAAUACGUAGGGAGCGAGCGUUGUCCGGAAUUACUGGGUGUAAAGGGAGCGUAGGCGGGCCUGCAAGUUGGGUGUCAAAUCUACCGGCUCAACCGGUAGCCGCACUCAAAACUGCAGUUCUUGAGUGAAGUAGAGGCAGGCGGAAUUCCUAGUGUAGCGGUGAAAUGCGUAGAUAUUAGGAGGAACACCAGUGGCGAAGGCGGCCUGCUGGGCUUUUACUGACGCUGAGGCUCGAAAGUGUGGGGAGCAAACAGGAUUAGAUACCCCAGUAGUC
Molecule: ribosomal RNA, 440 nt
Filed under: uncultured bacterium
Lineage: Bacteria
Description: partial 16S ribosomal RNA
Rfam family: Bacterial small subunit ribosomal RNA
Source: RNAcentral